GGUUACGUCAAGACUCACGGUUAUUAACCGUAGGCUUUCUUCUCUACUGAAAGUGCUUUACAACCCGCAGGCCUUCUUCACACACGCGGCAUUGCUGGAUCAGGCUUGCGCCCAUUGUCCAAUAUUCCCCCAC
This 133-nucleotide ribosomal RNA is filed under the name uncultured bacterium. Its description in RNAcentral is "partial 16S ribosomal RNA". The record is from RNAcentral.